This 468-nucleotide ribosomal RNA is filed under the name uncultured bacterium. RNAcentral describes it as "partial 16S ribosomal RNA". It matches the Rfam family "Bacterial small subunit ribosomal RNA", at positions 28 to 507 of the family's 1533-position model. The record is from RNAcentral.
GACGAACGCUGGCGGCGUGCUUAACACAUGCAAGUCGAACGGAAAGGCCCUGCUUUUGUGUGGUUCUCGAGUGGCGAACGGGUGAGUAACACGUGAGUAACCUGCCCUUGACUUUGGGAUAACUUCAGGAAACUGGGGCUAAUACCUGAUAGCAGCUCCUGCUGCAUGGUGGGGGUUGGAAAGCUUCGGCGGUUGGGGAUGGACUCGCGGCUUAUCAGCUUGUUGGUGGGGUAGUGGCUUACCAAGGUUUUGACGGGUAGCCGGCCUGAGAGGGUGACCGGCCACAUUGGGACUAAGGUACGGCGCAGACUCCUACGGGAGGCAGCAGUGGAGAGUAUGGCACAAUGGGCGGAAGCCUGAUGCAGCAACGCCGCGUGCGGGAUGACGGCCUUCGGGUUGUAAACCGCUUUCGCCUGUGACGAAGCGUGAGUGACGGUAAUGGGUAAAGAAGCACCGGCUAACUACGUG